UAUCUAAAUAUUUUAUAAUUUUAAAUUUUAUUUUUUAUGAUUAAAAUAAUUUUAAUUAUAUAGAUUAGAUAUUCUACUUUUCAUACAACUCAAGCUUUGUAUCAUAUACAAUAAAUCUUAGGAUUUCAACAUCUAGGGUUUUGCAGAAAAGUAAGUUCUUUCUUUUGCUUUCUUCUUCAUAGGAUCAAAUCACAUGGCACGCCUACAUGUCAUAAGACCACCCAA
This 225-nucleotide long non-coding RNA is filed under the name Elaeis guineensis (African oil palm). RNAcentral describes it as "long non-coding RNA (EGUI_LNC034836)". The record is from RNAcentral. Lineage: Eukaryota; Viridiplantae; Streptophyta; Magnoliopsida; Arecales; Arecaceae.